Molecule: long non-coding RNA, 220 nt
Filed under: Elaeis guineensis (African oil palm)
Lineage: Eukaryota; Viridiplantae; Streptophyta; Magnoliopsida; Arecales; Arecaceae
Description: long non-coding RNA (EGUI_LNC072372)
Source: RNAcentral
GAGGUCGACCGAUAGUAGAAUCCAGAGAGCACUUGGAGCAGCCUGAUAGACGACCGAAGAAGCUUAUCGCUGGAGAAGCCCGGGAGAUGCUGCAGGAGUUCGUCCGUCGGAGGAAUCCGGUCGACACUUGUGGAAGAAGCUGUGGGAGUUCAUCCGUCGGCAGAACUUGGAAACAUUGCGAAAACUCGACCGUCGGAGAGGUUCGGAAAGAUGUCGCCCA